GCCAGCAGCUAUAUCACCCUGCAGCUCUCAACUGUCUUCCCACUGAAGCUCAGCAGGGAUGAGCCUUGGACAGUACCUGGAUGGGAGACCUCCUGGGAAGCUAUGGUUGCUGCUGGAA
This 118-nucleotide ribosomal RNA is filed under the name Lepisosteus oculatus (spotted gar). Lineage: Eukaryota; Metazoa; Chordata; Actinopteri; Semionotiformes; Lepisosteidae. The record is from RNAcentral.